GAUGAACGCUGGCGGCGUGCCUAAUACAUGCAAGUCGAGCGAACAGACGAGGAGCUUGCUCCUUUGACGUUAGCGGCGGACGGGUGAGUAACACGUAGGUAACCUACCUAUAAGACUGGGAUACUUCGGGAAACCGGAGCUAAUACCGGAUAAUAUUUCGAACCGCAUGGUUCGAUAGUGAAAGAUGGCUUUGCUAUCACUUAUAGAUGGACCUGCGCCGUAUUAGCUAGUUGGUAAGGUAACGGCUUACCAAGGCAACGAUACGUAGCCGACCUGAGAGGGUGAUCGGCCACACUGGAACUGAGACACGGUCCAGACUCCUACGGGAGGCAGCAGUAGGGAAUCUUCCGCAAUGGGCGAAAGCCUGACGGAGCAACGCCGCGUGAGUGAUGAAGGUCUUCGGAUCGUAAAACUCUGUUAUUAGGGAAGAACAAACGUGUAAGUAACUGUGCACGUCUUGACGGUACCUAAUCAGAAAGCCACGGCUAACUACGUG
This 496-nucleotide ribosomal RNA is filed under the name uncultured bacterium. Its description in RNAcentral is "partial 16S ribosomal RNA". It matches the Rfam family "Bacterial small subunit ribosomal RNA", at positions 28 to 507 of the family's 1533-position model. The record is from RNAcentral.